RNAcentral lists this ribosomal RNA (390 nucleotides) under Triticum aestivum (bread wheat). Its description in RNAcentral is "partial small subunit ribosomal RNA". Lineage: Eukaryota; Viridiplantae; Streptophyta; Magnoliopsida; Poales; Poaceae. The record is from RNAcentral.
AUGAAAAAACAUAAAGGGGUAGUUAGAAGAAGAGGGAAGAAUGUACAAAGGGAAGGGGAAUAUACAAAAGGGGGCUAUACAAGGGAGUCAAGAAUCCCAAAUCUAAUUAUUCCACUUCAUUAUACACUAGAUCUUGCCAAUCUAUUUUUAUUGCAUGAAACUUGUACUAUUAUACAGUUCCUAGCAAUGAGACGACUGUACAAUAUGUCCAGUUCUGCCAUCAUAUGCUCAAAGUGGAUAGGUACUAGGGACAGAUUUUUGUGUGUUAAUUUAUUAAACCACAGACCACAGUUGAAUAGUACAUCCCAUCUGCAUGACAUUCUUCUCUGUCCAUCUGAAACCAUAUACCAUCACCGAUAUAAUCGAGUAGAAAUAUCAUGGAAGAGUUAG